AUUGAACGCUGGCGGCAGGCUUAACACAUGCAAGUCGAGCGGAGCGAGGGUGCUUGCACCUUAGCUUAGCGGCGGACGGGUGAGUAAUGCUUAGGAAUCUGCCUAUUAGUGGGGGACAACGUUUCGAAAGGAACGCUAAUACCGCAUACGUCCUACGGGAGAAAGCAGGGGAUCUUCGGACCUUGCGCUAAUAGAUGAGCCUAAGUCGGAUUAGCUAGUUGGUGGGGUAAAGGCCUACCAAGGCGACGAUCUGUAGCGGGUCUGAGAGGAUGAUCCGCCACACUGGGACUGAGACACGGCCCAGACUCCUACGGGAGGCAGCAGUGGGGAAUAUUGGACAAUGGGGGGAACCCUGAUCCAGCCAUGCCGCGUGUGUGAAGAAGGCCUUUUGGUUGUAAAGCACUUUAAGCGAGGAGGAGGCUUACCUAGUUAAUACCUGGGAUAAGUGGACGUUACUCGCAGAAUAAGCACCGGCUAACUCUGUGCCAGCAGCCGCGGUAAUACAGAGGGUGCGAGCGUUAAUCGGAUUUACUGGGCGUAAAGCGUGCGUAGGCGGCUUUUUAAGUCGGAUGUGAAAUCCCCGAGCUUAACUUGGGAAUUGCAUUCGAUACUGGGAAGCUAGAGUAUGGGAGAGGAUGGUAGAAUUCCAGGUGUAGCGGUGAAAUGCGUAGAGAUCUGGAGGGAAUACCGAUGGCGAAGGCAGCCAUCUGGCCUAAUACUGACGCUGAGGUACGAAAGCAUGGGGAGC
Molecule: ribosomal RNA, 748 nt
Filed under: uncultured Acinetobacter sp.
Lineage: Bacteria; Pseudomonadati; Pseudomonadota; Gammaproteobacteria; Moraxellales; Moraxellaceae
Description: bacterial SSU rRNA
Rfam family: Bacterial small subunit ribosomal RNA
Source: RNAcentral